GACGAACGCUGGCGGCGUGCCUAAUACAUGCAAGUAGAACGCUGAAGGAGGAGCUUGCUUCUCUGGAUGAGUUGCGAACGGGUGAGUAACGCGUAGGUAACCUGCCUGGUAGCGGGGGAUAACUAUUGGAAACGAUAGCUAAUACCGCAUAAUAGUAGAUGUUGCAGGACAUUUGCUUAAAAUUUGCAAUUUCAUCACUACCAUAUGGACCUGCGUUGUAUUAGCUAGGUGGUGAGGUAACGGCUCACCAAGGCAACGAUACAUAGCCGACCUGAGAGGGUGAUCGGCCACACUGGGAAUGAGACACGGCCCAGAAUCCUACGGGAGGCAGCAGUAGGGAAUCUUCGGCAAUGGACGGAAGGCUGAACGAGCAAAGCCGCGUGAGUGAAGAAGGUUUUCGGAUCGUAAAGCUCUGUUGUAAGAGAAGAACGAGUGUGAGAGUGGAAAGUUCACACUGUGACGGUACCUUAACAGAAAGGGACGGCUAACUACGUG
Molecule: ribosomal RNA, 495 nt
Filed under: uncultured bacterium
Lineage: Bacteria
Description: partial 16S ribosomal RNA
Rfam family: Bacterial small subunit ribosomal RNA
Source: RNAcentral